Molecule: long non-coding RNA, 1973 nt
Organism: Anguilla rostrata (American eel)
Lineage: Eukaryota; Metazoa; Chordata; Actinopteri; Anguilliformes; Anguillidae
Exons: 2
Source: RefSeq, a predicted model, not a curated record
AGAGCUCUAGUUCUGUCAUUAUUCAAAAUGUACCCACUCUAAACUGUAUAAAUCUAAUCACCCACCAGUACUAUUUUGAACUUUCUCGCUGAGUUGUUCCCGUAGCCGGCUGCGUAAUAAAUCUUCCUGUUUUUACUACGAACUUCUGAUCUGCUUCUUCCUGGGAUAACGGUCAUUUUACCUGUUUUUGGUAAUAUCUUGAUUAACCUACAAAUUGGCGCUGCGAGCAGGGUGGAUUUGUUUCCGGACCUCCGUGGGUUCCCCGACCGAUGCAAGAGGAGUGAGUACUUUGUUCUACCACCAUAUAGUUAGGCGAUUGGAAGGCAAACUAACGGAGGUCUGGAACGCUCCACCCAGUGGUACGUAACCUAUAAUAUAACUUGACCAGUGUAGAAGCAAUUAAUUGUUCGUGGUUAAAAGCUGUGUCUUCUUGUAACGUGUCUACUGUGAUGUUAUGUUUUAACUGAUUUUGUAUCAGCUACUGUUUGAAUGUACCAGCGCUGUAUAUGUAUUUGGAAUAUAGCUAUAUUGUGACAGGGUGAAGUUCAUCCUAACCUGAGGAGAGUGAGUUUUCAUGCCAAAAAAGGUGAAUACGUGGUUGCGUAGCUGCGGCAGGCUGAGUUUUUGGCCCGUGGCCCAGAGUGACUAAUUAUUUUCACAGCUGGGUAUUAGGUCGAGUGGACCUAAGAAGCGUAUAUCGUGUCUGUGUUUUUAUGUCCCGGGGAGAGUGAGUUUUUGCGCCCCAGCUCAGAGGUAAAGACAAGGGAGUGUCUCUAACUUGAGUAUUUGUGAGUACGUUACCGCAGCAGGUUGACAUCUCAACCCGCGGUCCAAAGUGACAAACUAUUUUCAUAUCUUGGGUAGUAGGUUUAGAAAUACCUACGAAGCGUACUCGUCUGCGUUUUUAUGUCCCGGGGAGAGUGAGUUUUUGCGCCUCGGCCUACAGUGAGAGACAGGUUUUUGUGAGUUUGUGCUGAGGCAGGCUGAGUUUUUGGCCCUCAGUCCAGGGGACGAAGGUUGUACCGUACCUGGAGUAUUAGGUGAGCGGGCUAUUAUAGGGCUUUUCCUAAGAAGCUUACUCGUGUCCGACGUGAAUCACGUCAUUGUUGCGUUUUCGAUACUGUUUUGGGUCAUUAUUGUUGCGUUUGAUAUUGUUCUGAGUCUUUAUUGUUUCGUGUUGGUAUUGUUCUUGAUCGUAUGUUGGCCAGUAACGCGCAUUUAUACUUAUAUAUUAUUAUAUCUAGAUACAGAGUUAGAUGAAAAAUGUGGAUCCUUAAAAAGUCUUAAGUCCUAAAUAAGAUUUUCAGCAUCUAAGGUCUUAAAAAGGUCUUAAAAAGUAUUAAAUUUGAUUCCAAAAAAAAAAUAUGCAGCAAUGUAUGUUUGUUAUAUGAAGUGUACACAAUAUAGUCGAUAGAAUAUAUAACCUAAGUAAUAUAAUAGAAUGAUCAUAGAUAGUAGUAUAAACUGAUUGAGGUUCCGGUCUAAUAGCCUAAGGACUGCGGACACUAUAUGAGCCUGAAAUAAUGGAGUAAGGUUAAAAGAAUUUAUGAUAAAAUAGUAACACACAUAGGAAUAGUUUUCAAAUGUGGGGACUAAAAAUGGUGAAAGAGAGGUUAAGUGAAGAAGGUUAGGAAGGCUGCUAUGUGUUCUCUGCUAGGGAACAAGGUGAGAAUGAGCCUUUAGAGAUACGCUGCUGUACUUAGCUUAUGGUAAUUCAGGGAAUGAAUUGAGUAGAGACAGUGAUGAUUUCCUGACUGUGGUAAUUGAUGGUAGUCUUCCCAUUUUUAGAAACAAAGCAUUGUGGAGAAAUUGGUUAAGCUUUGAGAGAUUGUAGUGAUCUAUUGGGCAUGGGCUGCAUAUAUUUUACGAAAUAGCAUAAGGACGUGGACACCAUAAGCCCCUAAAUAUUCUUAAUUUAUGAGCCCAAGAUAAGGGAGUAACAAUAAAUAAAUAAAUAAAUAAAUUUUAAAAAA